UUCCCGCCUCGGCCUCCCAGAGUGCUGAGAUUACAGAUGUGAACCCAUGCCAGGCCAGGAAUUUUGUUUUUUAGGAAGGCUUUCUACUAAUGGAAUUCCUGGCCUUGAGAGGAUAUUACUUUCGACGGAAAGGAUUUUUUUGUUAUUAAAAGAGCCACCUAAGCUGAAGAUUCCCUUGAGAACAAGUACUGUCCUGCGGUUUCAUGGCCUUUCUUCCAUUUGUGGUUCUUGCGAAGUGGAAUUUAAAUGACAUCUUAUCAAGAUCGAUAAAUACUAGUUUCCCAGUGCUGGAAUAUAGAAAAUGGAUGGACAAGUAAAUCCCACUCAGCACCCAUAGUCCAGGCAUGGGGACCUCAACACACCUGAGCCCCAAACAUCACCUUUCAUUCUGGACCUACCAUGAAAGACUUCUGAAUCCAGGAAGAGAAACUGACUGGGCAACAUGUUAUUCAGAAACAGGACCUUGCCCUGUCACUCAGGAUGGAGUUCAAUGGUCCUAUCAUGGCUCAUUAUAGCCUUAAACUCCCAGGCUCAAGCAAUCCUACCAUGUCAGCCUUCCCAGUAGCUGGGACUACAGGAAGUGACCUCACAAUGACUCAAGCUACCACAUACUGUUGAUUGUGAAAUGCCAGUUGAAGCAUAUGUCCUGCGAGCUUAGGGGUGCUACAAGUUGACCACUGCAGCAGUAAAGAUGACUCUGAAGAAUGGCAUGGGAUGGAUCCUUUCGAAUGCACUUGAGCAGCGGUCUCCAACCACAGGGCCACAGAGCUGGAGCUGGAUCUACCAUGAAAGACUUCUGAAUCCAGGAAGAGAGACUGACUGGGCAACAUGUUAUUCAGGGUCUCCCUCUGUUGUCCAAGGCUGGAGUGUAGUAGUGCUA
Molecule: long non-coding RNA, 880 nt
Filed under: Homo sapiens (human)
Lineage: Eukaryota; Metazoa; Chordata; Mammalia; Primates; Hominidae
Description: HSALNT0321720
Source: RNAcentral